RNAcentral lists this ribosomal RNA (101 nucleotides) under Acanthosepion pharaonis. The record is from RNAcentral. Lineage: Eukaryota; Metazoa; Mollusca; Cephalopoda; Sepiida; Sepiidae.
ACAUUGAAACACUGGUUCUCAUACAAUCCUCAAAGUUAAGCAACAUUGAGCUUGGUCAGUACUUAGAUGGGUGACCACAUAGGAAGACGAGAUACUGUAAG